AAGUCGUAACAAGGUUUCCGUAGGUGAACCUGCGGAAGGAUCAUUAUUGAAUAAACUUGGUUGGGUUGUUGCUGGCUCCACGGAGUAUGUGCACGCUCACUCCAUUUUUAACCACCUGUGCACCUUGUGUAGAUCUGGAUACUGAGAUUUGCUAUUGCUAGUGUUUCUCGUAUUUAGGUCUAUGUUUUUUCAUAUACUCCAAUACGAAUGUAUUAGAACGUUGUCAAUAGGCCUUUUUGUGCCUUUAAAACAAUCAAAACAA
This 262-nucleotide unclassified non-coding RNA is filed under the name plant metagenome. RNAcentral describes it as "partial contains small subunit ribosomal RNA and internal transcribed spacer 1". The stretch from base 1 to 46 matches the Rfam family "Eukaryotic small subunit ribosomal RNA", at positions 1786 to 1831 of the family's 1831-position model. The record is from RNAcentral.